Molecule: ribosomal RNA, 301 nt
Filed under: uncultured bacterium
Lineage: Bacteria
Description: partial 16S ribosomal RNA
Rfam family: Bacterial small subunit ribosomal RNA
Source: RNAcentral
CAGUAGCCGCGGGAAAACGUAGGUGGCAAGCGUUGUCCGGAUUUAUUGGGCGUAAAGCGAGCGCAGGCGGUCAAUUAAGUCAGAUGUGAAAGCCCCCGGCUCAACCGGGGAGGGUCAUUGGAAACUGGUUGACUUGAGUGCAGAAGAGGAGAGUGGAAUUCCAUGUGUAGCGGUGAAAUGCGUAGAUAUAUGGAGGGACACCAGUGGCGAAGGCGACUCUCUGGUCUGUAACUGACGCUGAGGCUCGAAAGCGUGGGUAGCAAACAGGAUUAGAUACCCCGGUAGUCCCUGUCUCUUAUAC